GGUCCAUGAGUUUUGAUAUUAUUAAUUACUUAAGUCUCUGUAUUUUUAUUUUAAAAAAUAGAUCAAGUCUUUUCUAUUCUAACUAAUGGUUAAAUGUAUUUGAAGUGUAUGGAUGGACUAAAGUAAUAUAGAGAUUAAAGAGUUAAUAAUGUCAAANNNCCCUGAUAAGGCCACAAGAUUUUAUUUAGGUAAUAAGGAUCACACUAUUCCGAUGAGAUUCUUAUUCCUUAGAAAAAAGGUCAGGACUCCCCAAAAUA
Molecule: unclassified non-coding RNA, 257 nt
Filed under: Hevea brasiliensis (rubber tree)
Lineage: Eukaryota; Viridiplantae; Streptophyta; Magnoliopsida; Malpighiales; Euphorbiaceae
Source: RNAcentral